GAGGAGUGGCCGUGUGAUCCUUUCUACAUGAGGAGGAACAUGUGAGAAAAGAGAGAGGGAUGACAGAGGAGGAGAGAAAAGCAGGUACACUGCACUAAUGUGGGGAGACAGGGCAAGUCGAGGGAGCAUCUGUUUUUAGAGUCUGAGAAUCCAUCCUCUUUUCUUUCCUUUUUCUUGCAGUUUUAUCCCUCUCAGCCUCUCCCUUUGUGUGUGUUUUUGUAUUUCCACAGUGGGCACUAAACAGCUUCUUUCACCAUAAGAAAGCAAAAAACAAAAACUUUAGUGUUCCCACAGGAGUUGAAUAACACUGAGUUAUUCCACGCCUGCCAAGGGUCAGUCUCAGCUGCUCCAUUUGAUAGCAAAAGGCUAUAAAAAUAUUGGAGUGUUAUAACAGCAAGGUCCUCUAAAAUAAUUUAAAGCAUGUGUGUGUGCGUGUGUAUGGGUAACAUCAUUACAUAAGAGAUAAACAUGUGUGGUUCUGGGUGCAGAAACAAGGAUUGGAAAGAAAUGAGGAGUGGUUUUCAUCUUAUAACACGCUCUUCAAUCUGGAAAUGAUUAAAGGUCAAUCAACUUGUCCAAAGAUUGAACAAAAAUUGUCCAGUUGAGCUCGGAUUUUUAAAAAGGUCACCCUUCUUGCCUCAUGCAUGUUCCCUGUUAUUUCUCACGUGUGAAGGAGGAGGAUUUGCCAGAAACAUGCUUCUCUUGCUCCUCCCAUGUCCUCCAGUGAACCCCAUGACUCUCUCACUUUCGCUUGCCCACCACUUGAAGUUGCCUCUCUGGAGGACUACAUCAUUUCGUCUUCAUAGUACGCUUCAUAUUUCAUUUAGUGAGAGAGAGAAAGAGAGAGGGAGGAGAGAGAGAGAGAGAGAGGGUCUGGGAGCGUAAAGAGAUCAUGUUAUUAUGAAGGCUCUUGGGUGGACCCUGGGCUCAUAACUGCAACACCAUUAAACCUUACAUCAGCCAUGAUCAGGAGAGGAGACAGAGAAGGAGAAAAAGGCUGUGUGAUGUGCUGUGAAGGCAAGAAUUUUCAACCCUAAAGACAGUCUGACCUUCACACUUUAAGCACGGAGAAAUAGACGUAAUAGGAUCAUGUCAGUAACAAGAGUUUGGAAGAAGAUUCAGACGGUUUCUUUUUGCAUGUGCAGCUGCUUUGCAUGUUUGGAUGGGAGAGGAGGGAAACUAGAGGAGUGCAAUGUAAGGAUGCAUGAUAUCAGCCUUCAAAGAGGUCAAAACUGACAAAGGAGCUCCUUAAUACUGAAACAGAUUAUAAACAUACAGACUUUAAACAGUUUGUAUGUGAUGAACUGAAAUAAUCUGAGUAAAAGCAAGAAUGUGAUUGUUACUGCUCAGUUUUAUAAAAAUACAGAAUUUAAAGUACACAAACAACACAUUGGCUAAAUAAAUAUUGGUAUAAUAAAUUGUUAAAUUGAAAAAAACAUCUGUGGAAAUAAUGCUUAAGGGUUGACUAAGGAUUUUUCAAACAAAGGAGGAUGUGCAGUAGUAGGUCUAGUUGGAUGAGUGUGAAACUAGAAAUUGCUGCAAAAUAUCCAAAGACAAAAACAAGAUUUUUUUUCUGUCUCUCUUAGCAGGCACAGAUACACAUAUCCAGUUUCCUUGUUACUUGUGAUAACAAGUAAUUUAUGGUUGUGUUCUCCAAAACCAGCCUAUUAUACUCACGAAAACAGCCCUUAUUAGCUCAAGAUAACACGCUGAUUUUAGCAGUUUUCCUGAGAUCUCUACUUGGAGCCAUAAUGUCGCUUUGCUUAUUAGUGAUCCUGUGUUCAGUUACUUCUGUCUGGGUGGUAUUGGUUUCGCUGGGUUUGGGUCACGUGAGCACUGUGUUUUAAAGCCAGUAGUUUCUAUCAGGGGCGGUCUUACCUGCACUGGGGUGGAGAGGUGAGCCUAGGUAGCCGUCAUUUUUGUUGACCGUGCUUUAUGUUCUUUGUUUGCUAUGAUACACGUCGCAGAGUGUACACAUAUUACAUCGGAUGUGCGUGUGUAAUCAUUGGGGAUUGUGGAUGCGUUUUUUUUCUGAUAUUAAAGCUCCGAAAACUUUAAUGAACUGUGUGCUUCUUUGGAACAGCAGCAGCGUGUCACACAAAUAUACAGGACCUAGUCUCUGCCUCAAGCGACUUUUUAAAGGUACUAGCAAAGCCGCAACAAUGAAUGAAACCAAGAUAUUUGUUCCCUGUGGUCAUGAGUUCAUUUCAGCUGUUUUCUCAAACUCUUCAAUAUUAUUCCAUGUAAUCUUAGGAUUACCAAAAUAGUUCUCCCCAUGAUACUGGAUCGAUUUAUCCUCUUUAUCUUGUAACAGGAUAUUUCAUAGCAAAUCAACAGACCAUCACAUGUCCUGCAGCCAUUGGCUUCAGUAAUGGGGUGGGUAAAGCGCAUUUCUGUGUUUGUUUGGGAUUGGAGUGACUUUGAAGUCAAGAUUUGGAGAUGAGUUGAAAGCAGCUCAUAAUGGAAAAUAUAAGUACAUCAAGUGUUGCUCUGGGCUGUCAUAUAUGUGAACAGUGGUAAUACAGGAAAAAUCAAGAACUGCAGUUUACAUUUAUUCUGUAAUCCCUCCUAAAAUAACCCAAUGUGAGGCUCCACUGAUACACCUGACUAAAGUCAAUUGCUUUUUUGCCCUGUGAUAGAAAGUGACACAUCUAACGGUAAAGUGAUGAGUCCUCAUUAGCCGUGUUGCUAACUGCAUCAUGCAGGUACUGAUGAUAAUUAUCAGGAAGAUGCUGCAAUGCAGAUCUCACAGGAGCAUGCAUCACUGAAUCUGAGGUGAAGGUAACAAGUGGACUCACAAACUCUCACUCCGAAGUCAUGAAUUGCUCCCUGCUGACUCGCCACCUGCUUCUGUUGUUUCUGUUAAUCAAUCAGAAGAGCUGUAUCUCACACACGCUCAUUUCCUCAUUAUAAUCUGCUGCAGUUUGGUGUGCUCUUUGUGUGUGUGUGUGUGUGUGUGUGUGUGUGUGUGCAUGUGUGUGUGUUUAAGUGGGUCAAACCCCUCUGUUGCCUCUCAGAUGGUCCGCCGGGAGAUAAAUGCAGAGAAGAGGAGCUGUAAUCUGGGAUUGGAGCUGGAUCCUGUAACUCAGUUAAAUAUGCACACAAACACACACAUGCACCAUCCACACACUCACACACACUCAUUAAAGACCUAAGUACAAACUAAAACCUACAGCGAACACUUCACGCAUAUUUGCACACAGUUAUGCACCAUUUCAUACACCCAACAAUAUCUCUUUGUCUAGCAUAAUAGUGUAACACAUGGACCAAAAACAGUGAUUUUAAUCUUUUGUUUUAGCUAAUUUUGAAAUUUUUACUGGCGCAUAAUCCAAAUUUGAAUCCACUGGACUUGUGCCGUCCAAACUGUGGUUAAAAAAACUCAAAUCAGUCAUGUCUGCAAAAACGCCUUCUUUCUACACCACAACUGGUGAGCCAGUUUCACAGUACUUAGACUUGCAUGCCAGACCAGUAAGUGGUGAUAAUGUGUAAUCAGUCCAUCACAACCCACAAACACCAUGGUAGAACACUGCGCAUGCAUGCCUGCUGAUCAUCUUCAUGGUGUUGACAGAGUGGACGAUUAAAAAAAGCAUGAUAUAUUUAUGUGCCCUAGCACUGUGCUACAAUGAUAAAAAAAAGUUAGUUUUCCCUGCGCAAUGCUAUUAAACCAAGUACAAGGUGAGAUAAUAGCGUCAGGUUCUUUUAAAGCUUUUGUUUUUGGUGCCCACAUGGACACACAGAGAGAGUGGAAUAAUUUAAAAGUCUCCAUCAUGGAGGUUGUUUUUUUACCACCAUCUUUAGUGACCUAAAACUCUGUUUGUGUACAAAAGGCCAACAUGUACUGAAAAAGCUCCAUUUUUAAAAAUACCCUCUCCAUGUUGGCAAGGCCUCAGAGUCAUCAGUCAACUAAAUCAGCACAUUUGGGGACAAAGGAGGGAAGCUGGUGUACCUGCACAGGAAGAACGUGGAUCCCUGCACAAUAAGGCCCCUGUUGGCUAGAGGUUCAAACCGGGGACCAUUUUGCCGAAGGACCACAGUGUCAACCCUUUAAGCUCUUAUGGCACAAUACAUGAUUGGGUUCACAUGUACCAGAGGAGGGCGCUCUCUGUUUUUUUUAGUGUGAUACCAAAGUUACAGCGAGUUUCAUCAGCAAAGAUUUUUCUGGUGGAAAAAUGCAGCGACAGAGUAUUGACGCACAGACAGCGCUGGCAGCAUGUGCUUCCAAUAAAUGACAGGACGAAAUGAUGGAAGGCGGCAAGAAAUGUUAUAAGUCAGCAGAAAUGAGACACGCGUGCAUUAGCGUGCACACAGACACACACCGACACACACACCAAAUGUCUGACUCCUCCAUCCACCCUAAACAAGAAUGACACUGAAAUACAGACAAGUGUUCUCGUCGCUGAAGCCUGAAAUUGCCUUUCCUUCCUGCUGUUGAUUGUGUUUCACACUCAGUGAAACAAGAGCAGGGACCCCAUGACAGAUUCAAUGUGUGUGUGAAUGUGUGUGUGUAUGUGUGUGUGUGUAUUGUCUCAUUGAUUGUGUCUUGUCUCAUUCAUUUGCCCUGUGCUCACACCAGUUGGAGAGAGAUUUGAUAUUCUGCUAGCAAGAUUAAAUUUAUGCAUGGAGGGAACGUGGUGUUCAACAAGGAAGCUUUCCGGUCAGUUAAGCAGCCACCAAUCUAACUUCUCCUCCAGUUAGCAAGGUGGGAUUGCACCGAGCCAUGUGACCGUGCUACGCUGCAAAUGAGGUUAAACUUUCUAUCAAAUGUGUAUUAUUUAGCAAAUCUGUCUCUUCCCCUCCCAGUAAAAGAUUUAUCACUUCAGCCCAAUGCUUUUCUUUACCAAUACUGAAUGGGAUUCUCCAGACUAUGAAUAAGAUUAUCACUGCGGAGAAGGAAGAUAAACACAUUCUUCACCUCUUGGUUUAAAAGUUGAAUUCUUUAGAAAUAAAUCACAUUAACCUCUCAGUGUCUCCUUAGUUUUCCGAAGCUAACAGGAGCUGAGAAUAAAAAUACUCUGGGAUUACCCCCAAAAAGUUACACUGUCUUAUUUCUUAAUGUAGAGAAACUUCAUUAAGUUUCAGUAUAGUGUUUUCUACUGACCUUCUAGCUCACCAUUAGAGUAUUACUUGUUAUCGGUAUCUGUACUUUUAAAUCACAUUAUUGCUGAUAAUAUUUGCAGUCUAGGUCUAAGGGUGGCAGAAGCUCAGGAGGUAGAGCAGUCGUCCAAUAACCGGAAGGUUGGUGGUUUUAAUCCCGUCCUAUCCCUAGUCUGUCUGUUCUGUCCUUGGGCAAGACACUUAACCCACCUUGCUCCCGGUAUGUGUCCUCCACUGGUGUAUAGUUGUGAGUGUUGUGUGGCGGUGGUCGGAGAGGCUGUAGACAGCUGUGACUACUAAGGUAAUUUACUACCACCAAGGUGUGACUGUGUGAGUGAAUGAAUGAUGUAUCUAAUGUAAAGUGCUUUGAGGGUCUCUGAUAAAGUGCUAUAUGAAAUCUGAUGCAUUAUGAUUAAGUUCUCAGUACUUCUUCCACCAAAUGUAUACAUGUGUGUUUCAGUGCUCAGUAUUAUUUUCCGACUGUCCAUUAGACAGGGGUGCAUUCAGAAGGUUAGCCUAUGGGUGGUUAUCUGAUCGGCCACCCCAAAAUCCCAAGUCAUGAGUUGUUUGCCUUGUCGGAGUUGGAACUUAAAUGGAAAAAGACUCCUUUCUAACCGUCCAAAUUGGGUCAUAUAUUUGAUGUGUUGUUGUUGUAUUGUGCAACUGUGUCUCCUCCCCUGCUGAGUGUGGAUGUGAUUAUGGGUUUGAUUGUUGAUCAUUGCAGGUGUGGCCUCUGAUUGGCCAGUUCAACCAGACUGGCACCUGUUGGAUUAGAGAAAGAGGGUCAGCAGCACUGAUUUAAAAUCUCAUGCUCACAAACAACAUGAGACUGUGUGUAAUGAAUCUUUCCAUCCAUCCAUUUUCUACUGCUUAUUCCUGUUCCCCGGGUCACAGGGGGGACUGGAGCAUCUUCAGCCGAAGAGGGACACCCUGGACAAGUCUCCUGUUCAUCACAGGGCUGACAUAAAGAGAUAAACAACCAUCCACACCCACGGGUAAUUUAAAAGUGGCUAAUUAACCUAAACCCACUUCUGCAUAUUUUUGGGAUGUGGGAGGAAACCAGAGUACUCAGAGUAAACCCACGCAGACACAUGGAGAAUAUGAAAACUCCACACAGAAACACCCAGACUCGGAUUCGAAC
Molecule: non-coding RNA, 6235 nt
Organism: Xyrichtys novacula (pearly razorfish)
Lineage: Eukaryota; Metazoa; Chordata; Actinopteri; Labriformes; Labridae
Source: the annotation of a GenBank genome assembly